Vulpes vulpes (red fox) is the source of this 1559-nucleotide long non-coding RNA. NCBI's taxonomy places the organism in Eukaryota, Metazoa, Chordata, Mammalia, Carnivora, Canidae. The record is from Ensembl.
GGGAGCCUGACGCAGGGCUCCAUCCCAGGACCCAGGAUCAUGACCUGAGCCGAAGGCAGAUGCUUCACCGACCGAGCUGCCCAAGCACCCCAAUAUGUGUGGUUUUAAAUGCAUAUCAUACUUUAGUAAAAAUUGAAGUUGCAGAAAAGAGUAAAAGAAACAGAAGAUAAAGAAAGGCAAAAGGGAGAAAAAAUAAAGCAUAAUCCCGCUCACUGAGAAAUCACUGUUGUUAAUGCUUGGUGUGUAUUCCUCAGGAUCUUAACACGCAUGUGUACACACAUACACAAACACAUGAGACAGAAUUUCUGGCUGUGUUGGAGUCCAUUAUCCUUAUCUUGAGAGUAGAACAGCCUGUUUUCCUUACUGAUAGCAACAGAAGUAAUAACUGCAUCCCCAAAUCGGGAAUUUAUAUUCUGGCAAGUGCUGGGAAGGAAGAGGUCUGAGAGAGACUUUAGAUGUUCCAUGCAUCUGGGAGGUGGAGGGUCCAGUGAUAAAUCUGCCCUUAUUUAGAGAACAGGUCCCUUUGCCUCUCCAAACUGGCAGCGUGGAUUGUAGCACACACAAUCCAUGUAUUCUUCCUCCAGGCUUUCUAUGCCGUGUAUAGACUAAAUGCUGACUCUGAAUCAUGCAUGGGGCUUGUGGUGAUGAGUAACCCUUGGGUUCUGACCUCCUGGGGCUUUGAGUUGAGUAGUUUCACUCUGGGCAAGAUACUGCCUUCAUGUGAGCCUCGUUUUUUUUUUUUUUUUCAGGAAAAUGGGGAUAAUAAAAUAUGCCGGCGGGGGCGGGGAGGACCUCACUUCUCUGUGUGGAAGAACCAUCUGAUUAUUGAAUGGGAUCUAUACCCAGUAAUGCCAUUUGCUUGCCAUCUGGAUUCUAACAAGGCCUUGUGUAUGUUUGGACCUGCCAGCAGAUGCCGAAGCUGUCUGUGGGUGAGUGAGUUAUGGUACCCACAUCCCACUGGGCUGAAGGAUGAGGCGGGGUCCAUGAUGGUAUGUCUGGUCUCUAUGUCAUGGCAUGGAAGGAAGGGAAAGACUGUUAUUGAGACUUGCUCUUUGCCUGAACUUUCUCUGCUUACAGGCUGCAUCUGGGUCCAAUCGGGAGGGGUUCAGGGUGGGUGGCAGGUGGCACUAGGGAUUCAGUGGAGAAGAAAUACAAAUUCGAUAACACCUAGAGGUGGAAAAUGGAGAACAAGGGAUCUAAAAACAGCUAAAAAUAAGAGACAUGGCAACCAAAUGCAACAUGUGACCCUUGAUAGAAUCCUGGAUUAAAAAAAAAAAUCUGUAAAGGACAUUAUUGGGACUGUUGAGGAAAUUUGAAUAUGACUGUGUAUUAGAUGAUAUAGUAUCAAUAUUAAAUGUCUUAAAUAUGAAAGCAGGGUUCUGUUUAUAUGUAUAUAUGAUAUAUACACAUGUAUAUCUAGAGAGAUGAAACAAACGUGAAAUACUAAGAGUUGGUGAAUGUGAGUGAAGCUUAUGUGGGAGUUGACUGUGCUAUUCCUACUCUUCUGCAAAUUUGAAGUCUUUUAAAAUAAAAAGUGUGGGGAAAAUGCUUGAAAGUCA